GUGAGACGAGAUGAAAAGUUUUCAAAGUUAGUUUCGAUGACAUUGUACAAUAUAAUGUGUAGCUUGAUGGCUAUUUUUACUUUGUUUUAGAAUAAGCAACCCGAGUUCAAUUCCUCCUUUUGUGUACAAUAUUAAUAUAUGCCUGAAUAAGCAAAUAGUGUUUUAUAUAUUACUACAACUCGGCACUGUUUAUGGAAAGUGUACAUAUUUUUCCUUAUAUUAACCGAGUUCAUUCCUCUUUUGAAAUGGUGUUCCAAUGUCUAACGCUCAUUAAUUCUAUGAGGG
RNAcentral lists this long non-coding RNA (285 nucleotides) under Capsella rubella. RNAcentral's name for it is "long non-coding RNA (CRUB_LNC000539)". The record is from RNAcentral. Lineage: Eukaryota; Viridiplantae; Streptophyta; Magnoliopsida; Brassicales; Brassicaceae.